UACGUAGGUGGCGAGCGUUAUCCGGAUUUACUGGGUGUAAAGGGUGUGUAGGCGGGGAUGCAAGUCAGAUGUGAAAACUAUGGGCUCAACUCAUAGCCUGCAUUUGAAACUGUAUUUCUUGAGGGUCGGAGAGGUAAGUGGAAUUCCCGGUGUAGCGGUGAAAUGCGUAGAGAUCGGGAGGAACAUCUGUGGCGAAGGCGACUUACUGGACGAUUACUGACGCUGAGACACGAAAGCGUGGGGAG
RNAcentral lists this ribosomal RNA (245 nucleotides) under uncultured Oscillospiraceae bacterium. RNAcentral's name for it is "partial 16S ribosomal RNA". It matches the Rfam family "Bacterial small subunit ribosomal RNA", at positions 524 to 768 of the family's 1533-position model. The record is from RNAcentral. Lineage: Bacteria; Bacillati; Bacillota; Clostridia; Eubacteriales; Oscillospiraceae.